This 78-nucleotide small RNA is filed under the name Flavobacterium glycines. RNAcentral describes it as "Flavo-1 RNA". It matches the Rfam family "Flavo-1 RNA". Lineage: Bacteria; Pseudomonadati; Bacteroidota; Flavobacteriia; Flavobacteriales; Flavobacteriaceae. The record is from RNAcentral.
UUUUAGCCCCGGUAGUAACGGCAUCCUUUUCCUGCUUUCUUUAAGCAGGGAAAGAUAGAGUGGAUAACGGGAAAAGCU